AGCUGGUUGGCAUAGUGGUUUGAGCAUUGGACUGCGACUCUGAAUACCAGGGUUUGAUUUCCAGCCUGGCCA
Non-coding RNA from Phrynosoma platyrhinos (Desert horned lizard), 72 nucleotides. Lineage: Eukaryota; Metazoa; Chordata; Lepidosauria; Squamata; Phrynosomatidae. The record is from the annotation of a GenBank genome assembly.